AAAUUGAAGAGUUUGAUCAUGGCUCAGAUUGAACGCUGGCGGCAGGCCUAACACAUGCAAGUCGAGCGGUAGCACAGAGAGCUUGCUCUCGGGUGACGAGCGGCGGACGGGUGAGUAAUAUCUGGGAAACUGCCUGAUGGAGGGGGAUAACUACUGGAAACGGUAGCUAAUACCGCAUAACGUCGCAAGACCAAAGUGGGGGACCUUCGGGCCUCAUGCCAUCAGAUGUGCCCAGAUGGGAUUAGCUAGUAGGUGGGGUAACGGCUCACCUAGGCGACGAUCCCUAGCUGGUCUGAGAGGAUGACCAGCCACACUGGAACUGAGACACGGUCCAGACUCCUACGGGAGGCAGCAGUGGGGAAUAUUGCACAAUGGGCGCAAGCCUGAUGCAGCCAUGCCGCGUGUGUGAAGAAGGCCUUCGGGUUGUAAAGCACUUUCAGCGGGGAGGAAGGCGGUGAGGUUAAUAACCUCAUCGAUUGACGUUACCCGCAGAAGAAGCACCGGCUAACUCCGUGCCAGCAGCCGCGGUAAUACGGAGGGUGCAAGCGUUAAUCGGAAUUACUGGGCGUAAAGCGCACGCAGGCGGUCUGUCAAGUCGGAUGUGAAAUCCCCGGGCUCAACCUGGGAAC
RNAcentral lists this ribosomal RNA (629 nucleotides) under Klebsiella pneumoniae. RNAcentral's name for it is "bacterial SSU rRNA". It matches the Rfam family "Bacterial small subunit ribosomal RNA", at positions 1 to 621 of the family's 1533-position model. The record is from RNAcentral. Lineage: Bacteria; Pseudomonadati; Pseudomonadota; Gammaproteobacteria; Enterobacterales; Enterobacteriaceae.